This is a long non-coding RNA of Cyprinus carpio (common carp), 611 nucleotides long. NCBI's taxonomy places the organism in Eukaryota, Metazoa, Chordata, Actinopteri, Cypriniformes, Cyprinidae. The record is from Ensembl.
AGCAUAAUAAAUAUUUUCUUUGUGUCCCGAACAGUCGCUGUGUGUGUUCCUCCGUUGAAUUAUGAGGCAACUGAAGGAGAGAAUGUUACUAUCUCCUUCAAAACUGCUGGACUGGAGAGAGCCGAUCAAGUGAAGAUAACUUGGACCAGAGGAAGUCAGAAAAAACUGAUUGCGCAGUACUGUCGCUGUGUCCAUCGUGGAGACUGUAGUGUCAGGGAAACAUCGGGAGUCUUACUGAGAGCUGAAGAAGGAACCGUAACUCUUCUGCGUGUCAGCUCCAAUAACUCAGGCCUCUAUGAAGUAAUAAUCAUUGGGAAAAAUGUUUCUAGGAUAAAUGCCUCACUUGUUGUCAACGAACCUCUGUUGUCCUCCAGUAAUGAGCCACCACAAUCCUCCAUCACAAACCCUCCAGACUCCUCUGAACGCCAAAGGCUUUAUGUGUUAAUUGCUUCAGUUGUAUUCAUCUUGGUGGUCUUGGGGGGUUUGUUUCGUCUGUACAUUUUCAGGAGGAAAUGUAAGUCAUCAGCUGAUGUUGAAGCAGUGUGCUGAACCGCUGCUGUCUCCAGAUUCAGUAUCUUCAAAAAAAAAAAUAAAUUUAAGACUGAAGAUCA